ACUAAGAGUCACAUCACGGUGAAGAUACCCAAUCUUGUCUGAUCUCUGAAGCUAGGCAAGUUUUGUCCUAGUAAAUACGUAGAUGGGAGACCACUUGGAAAUAUUGAGUACUAUUAGUU
Molecule: ribosomal RNA, 119 nt
Filed under: Echinops telfairi (small Madagascar hedgehog)
Lineage: Eukaryota; Metazoa; Chordata; Mammalia; Afrosoricida; Tenrecidae
Source: RNAcentral